RNAcentral lists this ribosomal RNA (424 nucleotides) under uncultured bacterium. RNAcentral describes it as "partial 16S ribosomal RNA". It matches the Rfam family "Bacterial small subunit ribosomal RNA", at positions 360 to 776 of the family's 1533-position model. The record is from RNAcentral.
AAUUUUGGACAAUGGGUGAAACCCUGAUCCAGCCAUCCCGCGAGUAUGAUGAAGGAAUUCGAGAUGUAAAGUACUUUUGGCAGAGAAGAAAAGGCAUCGACUAAUACGGGAUGAUGCUGACGGUAUCUGCAGAAUAAGCACCUGCUAACUACGUGCAAGCAGCCGCGGUAAUACGUAAGGUGCAAGCGUUAAUCGGAAUUACUGGGCGUAAAGCGUGUGUAGGCGGUUCGGAAAGAAAGAUGUGAAAUCCCAGGGCUCAACCUUGGAACUGCAUUUUUAACUGCCGAGCUAGAGUAUGUCAAAGGGGGGUAGAAUUCCACGUGUAGCAGUGAAAUGCGUAGAUAUGCGGAGGAAUACCGAUGGCGAAGGCAGCCCCCUGGGAUAAUACUGACGCUCAUGCACGAAAGCGUGGGUAGCAAACAGG